GAUGCAUUUAAUUUUGCUUGAAACAACUCAAGACAACCUUAAUGAUUGCGUAGGGACUCACAUGUACAAUAAUAAUAAUAAUAAUAAUAAAACUUUAUGCGACAAAUAAGAUGAAUAAAAAUAAGAUAUGUGAUUUCUAAGAACACAUCUGUAAUUUCUUCCCAUGAAACAUUAACUAUAAGCUAAAUAGCAAUUAAUUCUUUUAAUAGAUGCCACAAUGAUUAACCAGCUCCUACAUUGAAAUGAAAAAUAUUCC
RNAcentral lists this long non-coding RNA (256 nucleotides) under Physcomitrium patens. Its description in RNAcentral is "long non-coding RNA (PPAT_LNC005396)". Lineage: Eukaryota; Viridiplantae; Streptophyta; Bryopsida; Funariales; Funariaceae. The record is from RNAcentral.